GGCCUGGUAGCUCAGUUGGUAGAGCACUUGAUUGAAGCUCAAGGUGUCGGCAGUUCGAUUCUGUCCCACCUUGAUUGAAGCUCAAGGUGUCGGCAGUUCGAUUCUGUCCCAGGCCACCA
This 119-nucleotide transfer RNA is filed under the name Halioglobus sp. Its description in RNAcentral is "tRNA-OTHER". It matches the Rfam family "tRNA". From Rfam's summary of the family: Transfer RNA (tRNA) molecules are approximately 80 nucleotides in length. Their secondary structure includes four short double-helical elements and three loops (D, anti-codon, and T loops). Lineage: Bacteria; Pseudomonadati; Pseudomonadota; Gammaproteobacteria; Cellvibrionales; Halieaceae. The record is from RNAcentral.